Molecule: ribosomal RNA, 292 nt
Filed under: uncultured bacterium
Lineage: Bacteria
Description: partial 16S ribosomal RNA
Rfam family: Bacterial small subunit ribosomal RNA
Source: RNAcentral
GUGUCAGCCGCCGCGGUAAUACGAAGGACCCGAGCGUUAUCCGGAUUUAUUGGGUUUAAAGGGUGCGUAGGCGGAUUAGUAAGUCAGUGGUGAAAGCCCGUCGCUCAACGGCGGAACUGCCAUUGAUACUGCUAGUCUUGAGUAUGGUUGAGGUGGGCGGAAUGUGUCAUGUAGCGGUGAAAUGCUUAGAUAUGACACAGAACACCAAUUGCGAAGGCAGCUCGCUAAGCCAUAACUGACGCUGAUGCACGAAAGCGUGGGGAGCAAACAGGAUUAGAAACCCGCGUAGUCC